RNAcentral lists this ribosomal RNA (619 nucleotides) under soil bacterium Carb-S1G-M1LLLSSL-1. RNAcentral describes it as "bacterial SSU rRNA". It matches the Rfam family "Bacterial small subunit ribosomal RNA", at positions 138 to 751 of the family's 1533-position model. The record is from RNAcentral.
GGGGGAUAUCUACCCGAAAGCGUGGCUUAUACCGCACACACCCCACGGGGGAGAGCACGGGAUCGCUUGACCUUGCACUAUUGGAGCGGCCGAUAUCGGAUUAUUCUAGUUGGUGGGGUAACGGCUCACCAAGGCGACAAUACGUAUCUGGUUUGAGAGGACGACCAGCCACACUGGGACUGAGACACGGCCCACACUCCUACAGGAGGCGGCACUGGGGAAUUUUGGACAAUGGGGGAAACCCUGAUCCCCCCCUCCCGCGUGUGCGAUGAAAGCCUUCUGGUUGUAAAGCACUUUUGUCUCGAAAGAAACGUCCCGGGUUAAUACCCCGCGGAACUGACAGUACCUGCAAAAAAUACACCGGCUAACUACAUGCCACCACCCGCGGUAAUACAUAUGGUGCGCGCGUUAAUCUCAAUUACUGGGCGUAUAGCGUGCGCACGCGGUUCUGAAAGAAAGAUGUGAAAUCUCCCAGCUUAACUUUGGAACUGCGUUUUUAUCUACCGGGCUAUAGUGUGUCAGAGAGAGGUGGAAUUCUGCGUGUAGCACUGAAAUGCGUAGAUAUGUGGAGGAACACCGAUAGCGAAGGCAGCCUCCUGUGAUAACACUGACACUCAUG